Molecule: long non-coding RNA, 585 nt
Filed under: Fukomys damarensis (Damara mole-rat)
Lineage: Eukaryota; Metazoa; Chordata; Mammalia; Rodentia; Bathyergidae
Description: lncRNA (ENSFDAG00000024790.1)
Source: RNAcentral
GCAUGGUGGAGGCUGUUCACAUAGUAUCACCAGUGCAGCUCCUCCAUGGUUCUGGAAUUCUGGAAAAAAAAUGUGUGCAUUUGAGACCAAAAUCCAUCAUGCUGAUCGACAUGCCAGAGGGAUUUAUGCUCAUUUGCACUUUACAGAGGGCUCUUCUGCUUUUGUGGCCUUCAAAGCUCAGCAUCCUCAGAACUGCAGACCCCCCACUCAGGAAGAUGAAUGAACGGCUGAUCAGAUACUAGUACACAAGGAUCCACUGCAAAGUCACAGUGUAUACCAAGGCUUACUUUUUAUGAUUGCAAAAGUAGUCAAAACAGAGAUGCACUUCUAAGACAGCAGUUAAAAGAGUGUGUGUUAAAUUUAAAAGCAUAGUCCUCCGUUUGUAAUUCAUUUUGUUAUGCACCAUCCAAAAGAGGUUAUUUGGCUAAAGCUACAUUUCUGGGCAAGAAGGUCAAUCAGAGAUGGUACAGCACACUAGUAAAACACACUAGAGUUUUUCAAUUUUUUUCAUUCAUUAAAGAAAUAUUUUCUUAAUGACUUUGACAAUAGCAUACAUUUUUUUCAUGCAAUAGGACCAUGUCACCC